Molecule: long non-coding RNA, 87 nt
Organism: Etheostoma spectabile (orangethroat darter)
Lineage: Eukaryota; Metazoa; Chordata; Actinopteri; Perciformes; Percidae
Exons: 3
Source: RefSeq, a predicted model, not a curated record
UGUUUAUGAAAACUUUUUAAGCGAGAAAUAGGCUGUGCAGUUGCAGAAUCUGUCUUCAUUUCAGAUCAACAAAGGCCAGUUUAAAGG